Molecule: long non-coding RNA, 1255 nt
Organism: Parus major (Great Tit)
Lineage: Eukaryota; Metazoa; Chordata; Aves; Passeriformes; Paridae
Exons: 3
Source: RefSeq, a predicted model, not a curated record
CCGCCCCUCAGCGACCGCCGCGGUCCCUGGCUGUCCCCUCGCCGUCCCUCAGUGCCUCAGCGACACGCCGCAGUCCCUCACCGGGCAGUCUCGGUUCCCCACUGUCGCCUCUCAACGCCUUAUCCCACCCCGGUCCCUCAGCGCCUUAUCCGCCUCAGCGCCUUGGUCUGUCACCGCCCCGCAGCGCCCUGAUUCGGUCCCUCAGUCCCCUCAACCCGCCUCGGUCCCUCAUUCUCUUCAUCCCGCCUCAGCCCCCCACUAACUCCCUCAGCCCCUCAGCCCGCCCCACCUCGCCUCGGUUCCUCAGCCCCUCACCGACCGCCCCUCACUGCCCUCCCUUCACAGAAUCACAGCAUUGUUAGAGCCGGAAGGGACCCCUGGAGAUCAUCCAGUCCAACUCCCCUGCCAAGGCACAGUCACCCAGAGCAGAUGACACAGGAACAUGUCCAGGAUCUCUUCCCAGGAAAGCUGGGCAUGGAGCAGCACAGGAAGCAAACCCAUCACUUCAAGCAUGUCUCUAAGAAAGUACUAAGGGAUGGAAAAUGAGCAAAGGAGUGUGUAAGAUGCUGGAUGGUGAAUUCCGACCACUCUGGAGAGCAAAUCAUGACUGUGUUGCACAUGGAACAAGUUUAUUCUCAGUCAUCAGAGCUGCAGAGCAGGAGAGAAGCAAGUGGCUGAAUUCCAAGAAAGCCAUGGAGUGGAAGUGAAGGUUCAAACAGCUUGUGUGUAAGGUUAAUGUCUGUCAGCUGUGGGGCAGGCAAAAAGAAGCUUUGCAGAACCAGGCACUGAAGACAUAGUCCAUAAAGGGUCAGGUGGUGCCAUUGUGAUUAUUGUAGAUUCAGAAUUACUGUUGAGAAGGAUGUUGCAUACAAGUGGAGUGGUUUCCUCUUUCAACUGAAGCCAAACCAACAACAUUUCAUUAACUUCUUUUCCUUCUUCUUUACUCCAGCUGUGUGAUCUAAUACAGCAGUAUAGAUGCUGGAAGCUUGGCUCAAAAACCAGCUGGAUACAUUGAUGGAUCAAAGAAUGAGCUAUAUCACGAAUUACCAUUACAUAUAGACAUCACCUCAGUCUGUCUGUGAGGUUGAACUAGAAACCAGAGAGUGCUUUACAGACCAUCUUCCAGUGCAGAGUGUUCAGGGACUGCUGGAGUCCCACGGAUCCCAGCUGCACAGUGCUCCUCUAGCAAAGCUGUUGGAAUCUUGGAACUGAAAGAUAAUCAGCAAAGAUUGGCUGAUGAGCCAAGGCUGCAGCA